This 230-nucleotide ribosomal RNA is filed under the name uncultured bacterium. Its description in RNAcentral is "partial 16S ribosomal RNA". It matches the Rfam family "Bacterial small subunit ribosomal RNA", at positions 564 to 791 of the family's 1533-position model. The record is from RNAcentral.
AGGGAGCGUAGGCGGCUGAUUAAGUCAGCGGUGAAAGGUAGCAGCUUAACUGUUUUACAUGCCGUUGAUACUGGUUAGCUUGAGUUGACAGAAGGCAGAUAGAAUUCCUGGUGUAGCGGUGAAAUGCUUAGAUACCAGGAGGAAUACCGAUUGCGAAGGCAGUCUGCUGCAGUCACACUGACGCUGAGGCUCGAAGGUGCGGGGGAUCAAACAGGAUUAGAUACCCCGGU